Molecule: unclassified non-coding RNA, 681 nt
Filed under: Hevea brasiliensis (rubber tree)
Lineage: Eukaryota; Viridiplantae; Streptophyta; Magnoliopsida; Malpighiales; Euphorbiaceae
Source: RNAcentral
UAGUUAAUUUUUUAAUAAUUUUGCUCUUUCUUAAAUGAAGCAAGUGCUUUUUUUGCACUUCAAGCUAUGGGAUCAUACAUCACUUUGAGUGUGCAUCAUGCCUUUAAAUACCUUGAGUAUGGCAUGUGGAUUCUUGUUCGAGCAACAAAGUAGCUUUAUUACUUGCUUUGGUUAGUGCUUGUCAUGAGUGAAAAAAGGGGUAAAAUUUUGCUAAUGCAUAAUGCUGAUCAAACUGAAGUAGAGAGUUGGGAAGGGAGCUUAGUUGAUAGAUUUACCUUCAUGUGUUUUUUUACAAGAAUUGGCUACCACUGUGAACCAGCAACUAAGAUGUUGCAAAUCCAAGACUAUUGCUACUGCACUAAAUGUAAGCCCCUUUAUUUUGUUUGGUAUGGAAUUUUGAAAAUUACUGGGCAUUGGUUUUGCCACCAUUUAGUAUAUAGCAAAAAAGAAACAUUGGGUGUACUGGUAGGAUUUUUAAUUCAAAGAAAUCUUUCAAGAAUGUAAUUACAUGUUUUAAAUUGACCUUAUGACAACAGUAAGAAUUAAGAAGGAACUUUAUGGAUUCUUUUUGCAUUAAGUCUUCAAACGAUUAGAUCUUCUAUCUGGUUUACUUAGUACUGGCCCCUGCAUAUUUUAUUUUCUUGAUAGCAUAUUUAGGGUGACAUGCUUAAGGUUAGAGCG